Molecule: long non-coding RNA, 759 nt
Organism: Etheostoma spectabile (orangethroat darter)
Lineage: Eukaryota; Metazoa; Chordata; Actinopteri; Perciformes; Percidae
Exons: 3
Source: RefSeq, a predicted model, not a curated record
UAGGGAAAAAAGAGGAAGAGGCAGAGAAAAGUUAAAGCAUCUGCAUUCAAUCCUGAAGAGGACACUCAACAGGCCAAGAAGCUGUGUGGGACAUCAGUGCAGACAGCAGUGAUGGAGUCUUCUUCCUCACUGGCAGAGUCUCCUCACACAAAGACAAGAAUAAUGGAGCCACGUGACCGCAGACAGUGCAGCUGCCACACACACAGACUGCCGUGACUGUGCUUGUGUCAGCCACUCAGAGGACGUUGGAGGAUAGGUGUCACCCAAUGAUGGACAGCUUUGGGCCCUUUCCCUCAAUGGACAACUCUAGCUGGCCUCAUGCAUUGUGGAUCUUAAUCGAAUAAUAACUGGAAAAAUAAUCACUCACAUAAUUACAAACAGCUCUUAGACAUGUGACAAUUAACAGAGUACCAAAAGACUAAAUCAUCUGUGCAUUAACUAUAGACACUUUUGUCCCCAAAAAAUAUAUACAACGAGAAAACAGCCUCGAGACAAGGGCACAACAGUCACAUGUUUAAACUGUCGGUCAACUCUUCUCACCAAGGCAGCUGUGGUCUUGAGGAACCACUUGUCAGAUCAAAUAUACAUUAAAGGGUCUUCUGUGACUGUUAUGUUAAAUGUAUGUACUAGUAAAUAUUUUUCUGUGUUGAUGUUGCAAAUGGAGCUGCUGGGAUGCAAGAACAUUUGAAGCAUUGUUCUGAUCAUUGCAACAGCUUCCACCAGGGGCCGUUAUUGUAGCAAAGCAGCAGUGCUGCAGCU